Molecule: long non-coding RNA, 100 nt
Organism: Neogale vison (American mink)
Lineage: Eukaryota; Metazoa; Chordata; Mammalia; Carnivora; Mustelidae
Exons: 3
Source: RefSeq, a predicted model, not a curated record
AAUCCGAGGAACACUGAAACACCUGUGCAUCUGGGGAAUGUCAUGCUUAGAAGACACCCUGAAAUAAAGAAAGCAUUGGAGGGAGGACAGCACACACAGG